GGUUCGGUAGCUCAGUUGGUAGAGCAAUGGACUGAAAAUCCAUGUGUCGACGGUUCGAUUCCGCCCCGAACCACCA
This 76-nucleotide transfer RNA is filed under the name Cryomorphaceae bacterium BACL18 MAG-120924-bin36. RNAcentral describes it as "tRNA-Phe". It matches the Rfam family "tRNA". Rfam says of the family: Transfer RNA (tRNA) molecules are approximately 80 nucleotides in length. Their secondary structure includes four short double-helical elements and three loops (D, anti-codon, and T loops). The record is from RNAcentral. RNAcentral also lists the same sequence under 4 other names. Lineage: Bacteria; Pseudomonadati; Bacteroidota; Flavobacteriia; Flavobacteriales; Cryomorphaceae.